GAUGAACGCUGGCGGCGUGCUUAACACAUGCAAGUCGAACGAACGACUUAUUAACAGAACCUUUCGGGGCGAAGAAUAUAGAAGUUAGUGCGGACGGGUGCGUAACGCGUGGGUAAUCUGCCUUUGUCAAAGGAAUAACUAUUCGAAAGAAUAGCUAAAACCGUAUAACAUAUUAAUAGGGCAUCCUAAUAAUAUCAAAACGAUAGUGGACAAAGAUGAGCCCGCGUCUGAUUAGCUAGUUGGUGAGAUAAAAGCCCACCAAGGCAACGAUCAGUAGCCGACCUGAGAGGGUGAACGGCCACAUUGGAACUGAGACACGGUCCAAACUCCUACGGGAGGCAGCAGUGGGGAAUAUUGCACAAUGGGGGGAACCCUGAUGCAGCAACGCCGCGUGAGUGAAGAAGGCAUUCGUGUCGUAAAACUCUGUAGUAGGGGAAGAAAGAAAUGACAGUACCCUAAAAGAAAGCCGGCUACUAAAA
Molecule: ribosomal RNA, 479 nt
Filed under: Filifactor alocis
Lineage: Bacteria; Bacillati; Bacillota; Clostridia; Peptostreptococcales; Filifactoraceae
Description: bacterial SSU rRNA
Rfam family: Bacterial small subunit ribosomal RNA
Source: RNAcentral